UGUACCUAUAGCGCAAUGGAUAGCGCGUUGGACUUUUAAUCCAAAGGUCAUGGGUUCGAAUCCCACCUAGGAUGA
RNAcentral lists this transfer RNA (75 nucleotides) under Trichonephila inaurata madagascariensis. RNAcentral's name for it is "tRNA-Lys". It matches the Rfam family "tRNA". From Rfam's summary of the family: Transfer RNA (tRNA) molecules are approximately 80 nucleotides in length. The record is from RNAcentral. Lineage: Eukaryota; Metazoa; Arthropoda; Arachnida; Araneae; Nephilidae.